GACGAACGCUGGCGGCGUGCUUAACACAUGCAAGUCGAACGGUAAGGCCCUUCGGGGUACACGAGUGGCGAACGGGUGAGUAACACGUGGGUGAUCUGCCCUGCACUUCGGGAUAAGCCUGGGAAAACUGGGUCUAAUACCGGAUAGGACCACUGCCUGCAUGGGUGGUGGUGGAAAGCUUUUGCGGUGUGGGAUGGGCCCGCGGCCUAGCAGCUUGUUGGUGGGGUGAUGGCCUACCCAGGCGACGACGGGGAGCCGGCCUGGGAGGGUGACCGGCCACACUGGGACUGAGCUACGGCCCAGAGUCGUACGGGGGGCAUCAGUGGGGAAUAUUGCACAAUGGGCGCAAGCCUGAUGCAGCGACGCCGCGGGAGGGAUGACGGCCUUCGGGUUGUAAACCUCUUUCAGCACCGACGAAGCGCAAGUGACGGUAGGUGCAGAAGAAGGACCGGCCAACUACGUGCCAGCAGCCGCCGUAA
RNAcentral lists this ribosomal RNA (479 nucleotides) under uncultured bacterium. RNAcentral's name for it is "partial 16S ribosomal RNA". It matches the Rfam family "Bacterial small subunit ribosomal RNA", at positions 28 to 523 of the family's 1533-position model. The record is from RNAcentral.